This 572-nucleotide ribosomal RNA is filed under the name Liangdongia nongkratonensis. RNAcentral's name for it is "eukaryotic LSU rRNA". It matches the Rfam family "Eukaryotic large subunit ribosomal RNA", at positions 62 to 645 of the family's 3401-position model. The record is from RNAcentral. Lineage: Eukaryota; Fungi; Ascomycota; Saccharomycetes; Phaffomycetales; Wickerhamomycetaceae.
AAACCAACAGGGAUUGCCUCAGUAACGGCGAGUGAAGCGGCAAAAGCUCAAAUUUGAAAUCUGGUUGUUUUUUGCAGCCCGAGUUGUAAUUUGAAGAGCAUAACCUUGAGCACUUGAUUCUGUCUAUGUUUCUUGGAACAGGACGUCACAGAGGGUGAGAAUCCCGUGAGGUGGGAUUAAGUGUUUUUGUAGGUUUUGUUCGACGAGUCGAGUUGUUUGGGAAUGCAGCUCUAAGUGGGUGGUAAAUUCCAUCUAAAGCUAAAUAUUGGCGAGAGACCGAUAGCGAACAAGUACAGUGAUGGAAAGAUGAAAAGAACUUUGAAAAGAGAGUGAAAAAGUACGUGAAAUUGUUGAAAGGGAAGGACAUUAGAUGAGACUUGGCGAUUUAGGCACAUCCUCCUCUUGUAGGGGGUGCACUCCUGAAUUUUUGCUGGGCCAGCAUCGAUUUGUGCGGUGGGAUAAUACUUCUUGAAUGUGGCUGUUCGCAGUGUUUAUAGCUUGAAGAGAUACUGCCAGUAUGGAUCGAGGACUGCGUCAUUUUAUGACUAGGAUGCUGGCGUAAUGAUCUAUGC